GAUAAUAUGAAUCAAAAAAUAAAUAGAUUUCAACUUAGGAAUCUCCCCAUAAAGAAAAUACCCAGCCCAAAAUGCCUCCACUACUAAACAUUUAAGAUGUACGUUGCACCGAUUCUACACAAACUCACCAAGAAGGUAGAGGAAAAAACGUUGUCUACCUUCGUGAAUGAAGCUGAUAACGAAACGUGACAGUUCAAGAGACAAAACUAACAAAAAUAUCCCUCAUGACCAUGGAUGAAAACAUCUUUGUUUUAACAAAGUAUUAAGAUAUUAACUUGAUAGGUUUAUCAAAAGGAGAAUCAUCAUGAUCAAGUGAUCCAGGAUUACAAGACUGACUGAGCAUUCAAAUAUCAAUUAGUGUAGCUAGAUGUGGUGUGCACCCCUGUAAUCCCAAUAAUUUGGGAGGCUGAGGCAGGCGGAUUGGAAAUUAGAGAUCAGCCUCAGCAAUUUAGCCAGACUCUGUCUCAAAAAGGGCUAGGGAUUUUGCUCAGUGGUAGAAUGCCCCUGAGUUCAAUCCCAAGUACUGGAAAAAAAAAAGUCUAAUUUACAGAGUAAAAUGGUGAAAAAAAGUAUCUCAAUAGCUCAAUAAAUGUAAAAUAAGUAUCCAGAAAAAAAUCAGUAUCAAGUCACAAAAAUUAUCAGUUGUCUGGGAAUGUCAACCUGUUCAACAGCCUUUACAGAAAUUCAACCACUAGCAUCAUACAGAGUGAAAGGUUAAGCACUUCCUAAAAUUAGGAACAAAGCAAGAAUUUCUGCUCUCACUUUUACUAAACACUGUUUAAGAUCUCACCCAAUGCAAUAUGACAAAAAUAAAUGAAAGGUAUACAGAUUACAGGGUGAAGGGUGGAAACUGUAUUUGCAGACGAAAUGGUUGUCUACAAAAUUGUGCUCUAUAUGUGUAGUAAGAAUUGUAAUGCAUUCCGCUGUCAUAUAUAAAUUUUAAAAAUUAAUUAGAAAAAAGAAAAUAAGGAAUCCCUGGGUGGGGAGGUAGAGCAAUUAGAAAA
RNAcentral lists this long non-coding RNA (1004 nucleotides) under Marmota monax (woodchuck). The record is from RNAcentral. Lineage: Eukaryota; Metazoa; Chordata; Mammalia; Rodentia; Sciuridae.